UUGGGGUGCAAUUUUAAAAGGCACUAUAUUUUUAUAUUCCUUUUCUAAUAUUUCAUUAUUAGUAUACAGAAAUGCAACCAAUUUCUAAAUAUUAAUCUUGUAUCCUGCUACUUUGCUGAAUUCAUCAAUCAGUUUCAGUAGUUUUUGUGUGGAGUGGAGGCCAACUGAUACUGUAUAAAGAAUAGAGUGCAUAGAGUGACUUUUUACCUGUUCUCCAAUUUGGAUACUUUUUAUUUCUUUUGUUUGUCUGAUUGCUGAGGCUUGGACUGCCAAUACUGUUGAAUAAAAGUGGUGAGAGUGGGCAUCCUUGUCUUGUUCCAGAUUUUAGUGGGAAGGCUUUCAACUUUUCUCCAUUGAAUAUUAUAUUCACUGUGGGUUUGUCAUAAAUGGCUUUGAUUAUGCUAAGGUAUGUCCUCACCAUACCCACUUUGGUAAGAGUUUUUAUCAUGAAUGGAUGUUGGACUUUGUCAAAUGCUUUUUCCAAAUCUAUUUGAGAUGAUCAUGUGGUUUUUGACUUUUCUUUUGUUAAUGUGGUGUAUGGUGUUGAUUAAUUGAUUUGUGUAUGUUGAACCAUCCUUGUGAACCUGGGAUUAAUCCCACUUGGUCAUGGUAUAUGAUCUUUUUUAUAUGUUGCUGGAUUUGGUUGGCUAAAAUUUUGUCAAUCAUGUUUGCAUCUAUAUUCAUCAAAAAUAUUUCCUCUUUGGUAGUAUUUUUGUCUGGUUUUGUAAGAUGAUGGUGGCUUCAUAGAAUGUCUUUGGGAAUGUUCCUUCCUCUUCAGCCUUUUGGAAAAUUUUAAGAAGGAUGGGUCUAAGUUCUUCUUUCUAUGCUUUUUUUUUUUUAGAAUUCGCCUGUGAAGCCAUCUGGGUCCUGGACUUUUGUUUGUAGGGAGUGUUUUUAUAACAUAUUCAAUUUCAUUUCUAGUGAUCAGUGUGUUCAGUUGAUCUAUUUCUUCUUGAUUCAGUAUUGGUGGGCUCUAAGUCUCUAGAAAGUGGUCCAUUUCUUCUAGGUCGUCAAAUUUUUUGGCAUGUAAUUGUUCAUAGUAUUCUUAUGGAUUUUUUUUUUUUUUGUAUUUCUGCAGUAUCAAGAUUUUUCAUUUCUUAUUUUGUUUACUUGAGUUCUUGCUCUCCUCCUUAUGGUGAUUCUGCCAGAGGUUUGUCAGUUUUGUUUACCCUUUCAAAGAACCAGCUCUUGGUUUUAUUGAUUUUUUUCCUAUUUUUUUUGAAUCUCUAUCUUAUUGAUUUUCUCUGUGAUCGUUGUGAUUUCCUUCCUUCUGCUGAGUUUAGGUUUUGUUUUUUCUUUUUGUAAUUCUUUUAGGUUGUGGGGUAAGUUGCCAAUUUGAUAUUUUUCCACUUUUUUGAAGAAGGCCUGUAUUAUAUGUACUUCUAAGCACUGCUUUUGCAGCAUCCCAUAGAUUUUGAAUGGUUGUGUUUUCAUUGUCAUUUGUCUCAAGGUAUUUUUUAAUUUCUCUUUUGAUUUCCUCAAUGACCCAAUGGUUUUUUAGUAGCAUGUUGUUUACUCUCCAUGUAGUCAGUUUUUUUCUCAUUUCUUUUCCGUUGGUUGAUUUCUAGUUUCAUGCCAUUGUGGUCAGAGAAGAUACUUGAAAUAAUUUCUAUAUUCUUAAAUUUGUUGAGGUUAUUUUUGUGCCCCAGUAUGUGGUCAAUCUUAAGAAUGUUCCAUGUGCACUUGAAAAGAAUGUAUAUUCUGAUUUUUUUUUUUUUUUUGGCUGUAAUGUCCUGAAAAUGUCAAUUAAGUCUAGCUUUUCCAUGUGUCAUUUAGGACCUCUGUUGCCUUACUGAUUUUCUGUCUAGAGGAUCUGUCCAUUGAUGUAAGUGGGGUGUUAAUGUCUCCUACUAUUAUUGUGUUUCCAUCUAUUUUUCCUUUUAUGUCUGUUAGUAUUCGUUGUAUGUAUUUGGGUGCUCCUAUAUUAGGAGCAUAUAUAUUGAUGAUUGUGAUAAUCAUCUUCUUGAAUGGAUCCGUUUAUCAUUACAUAGUGUCCUUCUUUGUCUUUAUGGCCUUCAUAUUAAAGUCUAUUUUGUCUGAUAUGAGUAUUGCAACUCCUGCUUUCCUUUCUUGUUCAUUGGCAUGAAAUAUCUUUUCCCAUCCCCUUUCAAUCUAUAUAUGUCCUUUGUCCUAAGUUGAGUCUCUUGUAGACAGCAUAUUACAGGCUCUUGCUUUUUUAUCCAAUCUGCCACUCUAUGUGGCAGAUUGGAGCAUUCAGUCUAUUGAUAUUUAAGGUAAUUAUUGAUAAAUAUGUUCUUAUUGCCAUUUUAUACCUUGUUUUCCAGUUGAUUCUAUAUUUCUCCUUUGUUUCUUUUUUGUUGUUGGGUGAUUUCCUUUUAUUUUAUGCUUGUUGCUGUCCUCUCUUUUUUAGUUUUUGUGAAUGUAAUGUUUGGUUUUGAUUUGUAGUUCCCCUGUUUUUUCAAGUAUGUUAACCCCUUGGUAUAUGUUUGCUUUACCUGAUAGUCAUACAGGCUCAAACACAUUCUAAGAUGAAGUCUAGAUUUUCUUACUUUCCUUCCUUACACUUUAUGAUUUUGAAGUCCUUUUUUAAUAUCUUCAUGUUUGUCCCUUUGCUGUUCCUUGUGUUUAUUAUUACUUUUACAAUAGUUUUUUUUUUUUCCUUUUAUAUCUGUAUACUGGAUUAUUUAAGUGAUUGCUUCCCAGUUGUAAUUUCCUCCAUCCUACUUCUUCUUCUAGGAAUACAGUAUUCUCAAAAUUUUUAUUUUCUUUAUUGAAUAGAUCCUCAAAAAUUUCUUUCCAACAAAAGAACAUGGGUAUUAAAUUACUUAAGCCUUCAUAUGGUCAAAGAUUUACCUUUAUUUUGCCUUUAAAGAUUAAAUACAAGCUUUUAAUACAGAUUAAAUACAAAGAUAGUCAAUGGUAUUGGAGAUGAUUUUUUAAGUAAACAUUUUAGAAAUACUUACCUAUCAAGUAUGAAUAGACAGCAUAGAAAGUACAAGAGAAAUGGAGACUGGAAAGGAGAAAAACCAUCAAACAAACAAAAAAGGAGACCAACAUUCAAGAAGGCAAGGACAAUCCAAUGCAUCUAUGAACAUAGU
This 3059-nucleotide long non-coding RNA is filed under the name Sus scrofa (pig). RNAcentral describes it as "lncRNA (ENSSSCG00000057865.1)". Lineage: Eukaryota; Metazoa; Chordata; Mammalia; Artiodactyla; Suidae. The record is from RNAcentral.